This 417-nucleotide ribosomal RNA is filed under the name Fusarium sp. MRC 6745. Its description in RNAcentral is "eukaryotic LSU rRNA". It matches the Rfam family "Eukaryotic large subunit ribosomal RNA", at positions 65 to 494 of the family's 3401-position model. Lineage: Eukaryota; Fungi; Ascomycota; Sordariomycetes; Hypocreales; Nectriaceae. The record is from RNAcentral.
CCAACAGGGAUUGCCCUAGUAACGGCGAGUGAAGCGGCAACAGCUCAAAUUUGAAAUCUGGNUCUCGGGCCCGAGUUGUAAUUUGUAGAGGAUACUUUUGAUGCGGUGCCUUCCGAGUUCCCUGGAACGGGACGCCAUAGAGGGUGAGAGCCCCGUCUGGUUGGAUGCCAAAUCUCUGUAAAGUUCCUUCGACGAGUCGAGUAGUUUGGGAAUGCUGCUCUAAAUGGGAGGUAUAUGUCUUCUAAAGCUAAAUACCGGCCAGAGACCGAUAGCGCACAAGUAGAGUGAUCGAAAGAUGAAAAGCACUUUGAAAAGAGAGUUAAAAAGUACGUGAAAUUGUUGAAAGGGAAGCGUUUAUGACCAGACUUGGGCUUGGUUAAUCAUCUGGGGUUCUCCCAGUGCACUUUUCCAGUCCAG